Long non-coding RNA from Oncorhynchus tshawytscha (Chinook salmon), 1041 nucleotides. The record is from Ensembl. Lineage: Eukaryota; Metazoa; Chordata; Actinopteri; Salmoniformes; Salmonidae.
CAAGGGGUCGAAAGAGGGGGUCUACUAGGAGAACAGGGGUUGAAAGACAGGGUCUCCAAGGAGAACAGGGGGUCUCCAAGGAGAACACGGGGUUGAAAGAGGGGGUCUCCAAGGAGAACAGGGGUUGAAAGAGGGGGAGAACAGGGGUCUCCAAGGAGAACAGGGGGUUGAAAGAGGGGGUCUCCAAGGAGAACAGGGGUUGAAAGAGGGGGUCUACUAGGAGAACAGGGGGUUGAAAGAGGGGGUCUCCAGGGAGAACAGGGGGUUGAAAGGAAGUGCGUCUUAGUCACCAGAUCUCAACCCAAUUGAACACUUCCGGGAGAUUCUGGAGUGGCCUCUUGAGACAGCGUUUUCCACCACCAUCAACAAAACACCAAAUGGUGGAAUUUCCCGUGGAAGAAUGGUGUCGCAUCCCUCCAGUAGAGUUCCAGACACGUCUUGAAUCUAUACCAAGGAGCACUUUUAACAUUUUUUUUAAACCUUUAUUUAACUAGGCAAGUCAGUUAAGAACAAAUUCUUAUUUUCAAUGACAGCCUACCAGGGAACAGUGGCUUAACUGCCUUGUUCAGGGGCAGAAUUUGUACCUUGUCAGCUCAGGGAUUAGAACUUGCAACCUUCCAGUUACUAGUCCAACGCUCUAACCACUAGGCUACCCUGCCGCCCCUACACUCUAACCACUAGGCUACCCUGCCGCCCCUACACUCUAACCACUAGGCUACCCUGCCACCCCUACACCCUAACCACUAGGCUACCCUGCCGCCCCUACACUCUAACCACUAGGCUACCCUGCCGCCCCUACACUCUAACCACUAGGCUACCCUGCCGCCCCUACACUCUAACCACUAGGCUACCUGCCGCCCUUACACUCUAACCACUAGGCUACCUGCCGCCCUUACACUCUAACCACUAGGCUACCUGCCGCCCCUACACUCUAACCACUAGGCUACCCUGCCGCCCCUACACUCUAACCACUAGGCUACCUGCCGCCCCUACACUCUAACCACUAGGCUACCUGCCGCCCCUACACUCUAACCACUAGGC